This 56-nucleotide transfer RNA is filed under the name Loxodonta africana (African savanna elephant). It matches the Rfam family "tRNA", at positions 10 to 63 of the family's 71-position model. From Rfam's summary of the family: Transfer RNA (tRNA) molecules are approximately 80 nucleotides in length. Their secondary structure includes four short double-helical elements and three loops (D, anti-codon, and T loops). Further hydrogen bonds mediate the characteristic L-shaped molecular structure. tRNAs have two regions of fundamental functional importance: the anti-codon, which is responsible for specific mRNA codon recognition, and the 3' end, to which the tRNAs corresponding amino acid is attached (by aminoacyl-tRNA synthetases). tRNAs cope with the degeneracy of the genetic code in two manners: having more than one tRNA (with a specific anti-codon) for a particular amino acid; and 'wobble' base-pairing, i.e. permitting non-standard base-pairing at the 3rd anti-codon position. Lineage: Eukaryota; Metazoa; Chordata; Mammalia; Proboscidea; Elephantidae. The record is from Rfam by way of RNAcentral.
GGUGAGUGGUUAAAGCACUUGGCUGUGAACCAAAAGGUUGGUGGUUCAAACCCACC